UGAGACCUGAUGCCGAGCCGAUUGUGGUGAAGUGGAUGAUCCUAUGCUGUCGAGAAAAGCCUCUAGCGAGUUUCAUGGCGGCCCGUACCCUAAACCGACUCAGGUGGUCAGGUAGAGAAUACCGAGGCGUUCGGGUGAACUAUGGUUAAGGAACUCGGCAAAAUGCCCCCGUAACUUCGGGAGAAGGGGGGCCACGGCUGGUGAUCACCCUUGCGGUGUGAGCUGGUGGUGGCCGCAGAGACCAGCGAGAAGCGACUGUUUACUAAAAACACAGGUCCGUGCGAAGCCGUAAGGCGAUGUAUACGGACUGACGCCUGCCCGGUGCUGGAACGUUAAGGGGACCGGUUAGCUCCAUUUCGGUGGGGCGAAGCUGAGAACUUAAGCGCCAGUAAACGGCGGUGGUAACUAUAACCAUCCUAAGGUAGCGAAAUUCCUUGUCGGGUAAGUUCCGACCUGCACGAAUGGCGUAACGACUUCUCGACUGUCUCAACCAUAGGCCCGGUGAAAUUGCACUACGAGUAAAGAUGCUCGUUUCGCGCAGCAGGACGGAAAGACCCCGGGACCUUUACUAUAGCUUGAUAUUGGUGUUUGGUUCGGCUUGUGUAGGAUAGGUGGGAGACUGUGAAGCCGUGACGCCAGUCAUGGUGGAGUCGUUGUUGAAAUACCACUCUGGUCGUGCUGGAUGUCUAACCUGGGUCCGUGAUCCGGAUCAGGGACAGUGUCUGGUGGGUAGUUUAACUGGGGCGGUUGCCUCCUAAAGGGUAACGGAGGCGCCCAAAGGUUCCCUCAGCCUGGUUGGCAAUCAGGUGUUGAGUGUAAGUGCACAAGGGAGCUUGACUGUGAGACUGACGGGUCGAGCAGGUACGAAAGUAGGGACUAGUGAUCCGGCGGUGGCUUGUGGAAGCGCCGUCGCUCAACGGAUAAAAGGUACCCCGGGGAUAACAGGCUGAUCUUCCCCAAGAGUCCAUAUCGACGGGAUGGUUUGGCACCUCGAUGUCGGCUCGUCGCAUCCUGGGGCUGGAGUCGGUCCCAAGGGUUGGGCUGUUCGCCCAUUAAAGCGGUACGCGAGCUGGGUUUAGAACGUCGUGAGACAGUUCGGUCCCUAUCCGCUGUGCGCGUAGGAGUCUUGAGAAGGGCUGUCCCUAGUACGAGAGGACCGGGACGGACGAACCUCUGGUGUGCCAGUUGUUCUGCCAAGGGCAUGGCUGGUUGGCUACGUUCGGAAAGGAUAACCGCUGAAAGCAUCUAAGCGGGAAGCCUGCUUCGAGAUGAGGGCUCCCUCCCACUUGAUGGGGUAAGGCUCCCAGUAGACGACUGGGUUGAUAGGCCAGAUAUGGAAGACCGGUAACGGUUGGAGUUGACUGGUACUAAUAGGCCGAGGGCUUGUCCU
Molecule: ribosomal RNA, 1390 nt
Filed under: Streptomyces rimosus subsp. rimosus
Lineage: Bacteria; Bacillati; Actinomycetota; Actinomycetes; Kitasatosporales; Streptomycetaceae
Also listed under: 2 other names
Description: bacterial LSU rRNA
Rfam family: Bacterial large subunit ribosomal RNA
Source: RNAcentral